CGGACAGCAUCUGAGAUGGCAA
RNAcentral lists this unclassified non-coding RNA (22 nucleotides) under Mus musculus (house mouse). RNAcentral's name for it is "oocyte_clustered_small_RNA9662". Lineage: Eukaryota; Metazoa; Chordata; Mammalia; Rodentia; Muridae. The record is from RNAcentral.